GCCCCGGUAGCUCAGUGGAUAGAGCGUUUGCCUCCGGAGCAAAAGGUCGUGGGUUCGAAUCCCGUCCGGGGCACAA
RNAcentral lists this transfer RNA (76 nucleotides) under Mobiluncus mulieris. RNAcentral's name for it is "tRNA-Arg". It matches the Rfam family "tRNA". Rfam says of the family: Transfer RNA (tRNA) molecules are approximately 80 nucleotides in length. RNAcentral also lists the same sequence under 3 other names. The record is from RNAcentral. Lineage: Bacteria; Bacillati; Actinomycetota; Actinomycetes; Actinomycetales; Actinomycetaceae.